This 446-nucleotide ribosomal RNA is filed under the name uncultured bacterium. Its description in RNAcentral is "partial 16S ribosomal RNA". It matches the Rfam family "Bacterial small subunit ribosomal RNA", at positions 329 to 792 of the family's 1533-position model. The record is from RNAcentral.
GCCCAGACUCCUACGGGAGGCAGCAGUGGGGAAUAUUGCACAAUGGGGGAAACCCUGAUGCAGCGACGCCGCGUGAGUGAAGAAGUAUUUCGGUAUGUAAAGCUCUAUCAGCAGGGAAGAAAAUGACGGUACCUGACUAAGAAGCCCCGGCUAACUACGUGCCAGCAGCCGCGGUAAUACGUAGGGGGCAAGCGUUAUCCGGAUUUACUGGGUGUAAAGGGAGCGUAGACGGCAGUGCAAGUCCGGAGUGAAAGCCCGGGGCUCAACCCUGGGACUGCUCUGGAAACUGUAAAGCUGGAGUGCGGGAGGGGCAGGCGGAAUUCCUGGUGUAGCGGUGAAAUGCGUAGAUAUCAGGAGGAACACCGGCGGCGAAGGCGGCCUGCUGGACCGUAACUGACGUUGAGGCUCGAAAGUGCGGGGAUCGAACAGGAUUAGAUACCCCAGUA